This 792-nucleotide ribosomal RNA is filed under the name uncultured bacterium. RNAcentral describes it as "bacterial SSU rRNA". It matches the Rfam family "Bacterial small subunit ribosomal RNA", at positions 8 to 796 of the family's 1533-position model. The record is from RNAcentral.
AGAGUUUGAUCAUGGCUCAGGAUGAACGCUAGCGGCAGGCUUAAUACAUGCAAGUCGGGGGGCAGCGGGGGUAGCAAUACCUGCCGGCGACCGGCAAACGGGUGCGGAACACGUACAGAACCUUCCUUUAAGUGGGGGAUAGCCCGGAGAAAUCCGGAUUAAUACCCCAUAGCAUUAUGAGACGGCAUCGUUUUAUAAUUAAAGAUUAAUUGCUUAAAGAUGGCUGUGCGUCUGAUUAGGUAGUUGGUGCGGGUAACGGCCCACCAAGCCUUCGAUCAGUAACUGGUGUGAGAGCACGACCAGUCACACGGGCACUGAGACACGGGCCCGACUCCUACGGGAGGCAGCAGUAAGGAAUAUUGGUCAAUGGACGCAAGUCUGAACCAGCCAUGCCGCGUGAAGGAUGAAGGUCCUCUGGAUUGUAAACUUCUUUUAUAGGGGACGAAACCCGGAUAUUCUUAUCCGAUUGACGGUACCCUAGGAAUAAGCACCGGCUAACUCCGUGCCAGCAGCCGCGGUAAUACGGAGGGUGCAAGCGUUAUCCGGAUUCACUGGGUUUAAAGGGUGCGUAGGUGGGUCUGUAAGUCAGUGGUGAAAUCUCCGGGCUCAACCCGGAAACUGCCAUUGAUACUAUAGGUCUUGAAUUUUCCGGAGGUAAGCGGAAUAUGUCUGUAGCGGUGAAAUGCUUAGAUAUGACAUAGAACACCGAUUGCGAAGGCAGCUUACUACAGGGACAUUGACACUGAGGCACGAAAGCGUGGGGAUCAAACGGAUUAGAUACCCNNGUAGUCC